UAAGGAAUAUUGGUCAAUGGACGCAAGUCUGAACCAGCCAUGCCGCGUGAAGGAUGAAGGUCCUCUGGAUUGUAAACUUCUUUUAUCUGGGACGAAAACGGGAUUUUUAUCUCAAUUGACGGUACCAGAGGAAUAAGCACCGGCUAACUCCGUGCCAGCAGCCGCGGUAAUACGGAGGGUGCGAGCGUUAUCCGGAUUUACUGGGUUUAAAGGGUGCGUAGGUGGGCUUAUAAGUCAGUGGUGAAAUCUCCGAGCUUAACUUGGAAACUGCCGUUGAUACUAUAGGUCCUGAAUUAUCUGGAGGUAAGCGGAAUAUGUCAUGUAGCGGUGAAAUGCUUAGAUAUGACAUAGAACACCAAUUGCGAAGGCAGCUUACUACAUAUAAAUUGACGCUGAGGCACGAAAGCGUGGGGAUCAAACA
RNAcentral lists this ribosomal RNA (421 nucleotides) under uncultured bacterium. RNAcentral describes it as "bacterial SSU rRNA". It matches the Rfam family "Bacterial small subunit ribosomal RNA", at positions 355 to 774 of the family's 1533-position model. The record is from RNAcentral.